UAUAAUUUAGUAUAUUAUGUAUGUAAGUUUUUGAUACUUAAGGAGUUAGAUUAAACUAAUAAUUAUAA
Molecule: transfer RNA, 68 nt
Filed under: Jumnos ruckeri
Lineage: Eukaryota; Metazoa; Arthropoda; Insecta; Coleoptera; Scarabaeidae
Description: tRNA-Gln
Source: RNAcentral